UACGGGGGGGGUAAGCGUUGUUCGGAAUUACUGGGCGUAAAGGGCUCGUAGGCGGCCAACUAAGUCGGACGUGAAAUCCCUCAGCUUAACUGGGGAACUGCGUCCGAUACUGGAUGGCUUGGAUUUGGGAGAGGGAUGCGGAAUUCCAGGUGUAGCGGUGAAAUGCGUAGAUAUCUGGAGGAACACCGGUGGCGAAGGCGGCAUCCUGGACCAAUAUUGACGCUGAGGAGCGAAAGUGUGGGGAGCGAACAGG
RNAcentral lists this ribosomal RNA (253 nucleotides) under uncultured bacterium. RNAcentral's name for it is "partial 16S ribosomal RNA". It matches the Rfam family "Bacterial small subunit ribosomal RNA", at positions 524 to 776 of the family's 1533-position model. The record is from RNAcentral.